AUUGAACGCUAGCGGGAUGCUUUACACAUGCAAGUCGAACGAGUGGCGGACGGGUGAGUAAUAUAUCGGAACGUGCCCAGUAGCGGGGGUUAACUACUCGAAAGUGUGGCUGAUACCGCAUACUAUUGGAGCGGCCGAUUUCGGAUUAGCGAGUGGGUGGGGUAAAGGCUCACCAAGGCAACGAUCCGUCGCUGGUUUGAGAGGACGACCAGCCACACUGGGACUGAGACACGGCCCAGACUCCUACGGGAGGCAGCAGUGGGGAAUUUUGGACAAUGGGGGAAAGCCUGAUCCAGCCAUCCCGCGUGUAUGAGAAGGCCUUCGGGUUGUAAAGUACUUUUGGCAGAGAAGCGGUAUCUGCAGAAUAAGCACCGGCUAACUACGUGCCAGCAGCCGCGGUAAUAC
RNAcentral lists this ribosomal RNA (405 nucleotides) under uncultured bacterium. RNAcentral's name for it is "partial 16S ribosomal RNA". It matches the Rfam family "Bacterial small subunit ribosomal RNA", at positions 30 to 526 of the family's 1533-position model. The record is from RNAcentral.